AAACUCAAGGUAUGAAGGAAGAGGCCGAACUUCCAGCUCGGAUAGUCAGAUUCCGACCUACUAAAAAGGCGCAAGGCCUAAUAGCUAAAAAAGCGCCGAUCUCGAAAUAGAUGCUAACAAUAAAAGUUUAGCUACAGAGCAAGAGGCCUCGCUCUCAGCUCGGAUAGAUCUAUGUUCACUAAGGCUGAAGACCGAGCUCCCAGCA
RNAcentral lists this long non-coding RNA (205 nucleotides) under Manihot esculenta (cassava). RNAcentral describes it as "long non-coding RNA (MESC_LNC004373)". The record is from RNAcentral. Lineage: Eukaryota; Viridiplantae; Streptophyta; Magnoliopsida; Malpighiales; Euphorbiaceae.